AGAUGCGAUCAUACCAGCACUAAAGCACCGGAACUCAUCAGAACUUCGAAGUUAAGCAUGCUUGACGAAAAAGGGUCCCCCGCUUUAUAGAUAAAGCAACCAUCACCGCAUACA
This 114-nucleotide ribosomal RNA is filed under the name Triticum aestivum (bread wheat). Lineage: Eukaryota; Viridiplantae; Streptophyta; Magnoliopsida; Poales; Poaceae. The record is from RNAcentral. RNAcentral also lists the same sequence under 1 other name.